GAUAACGUGAUGACGUCGUAUGCGAACGUGAUGACGAGGAACGAGGAAGCCUUUUCUGGGCGAAACGCGUCAUCACGUUCGCAUACGACGUCAUCACGUUAUC
RNAcentral lists this microRNA precursor (103 nucleotides) under Pelobates cultripes (western spadefoot toad). The record is from RNAcentral. Lineage: Eukaryota; Metazoa; Chordata; Amphibia; Anura; Pelobatidae.